RNAcentral lists this long non-coding RNA (1055 nucleotides) under Mytilus galloprovincialis (Mediterranean mussel). Lineage: Eukaryota; Metazoa; Mollusca; Bivalvia; Mytilida; Mytilidae. The record is from RNAcentral.
UAUGUAUAGUUUCAAAAUUUUACCCAACCCAUUACUUCUCUACUUAAUAAUGCAGGGUAUUUGUCAAAUAACAUAGAGUAAAUUAUUCCUGCACAAAAAAGAGAAACAGUCUUCUAUUUGUCCAUAAGAUUAUUUUGCUGUAUUUGUUUCUUUUAUCUAGAUUAAAAACGUAUCUUCAGAAUAAACAGCAGUUAUAGGUGCAUAUAUACUGUUAAUAGUGCUAGCACACCCAUAAGUAAAAUGAAUUAUAGGUGCAUAUAUACUGUUAACAGUGCUAGCACACCCAUAAGUUAAAAGAAUUACAGGUGCAUAUAUACUGUUAACAGUGCUAGCACACCCAUAAGGUAAAAGAAUUAUAGGUGCAUAUAUACUGUUAACAGUUCUAUCACACCCAUAAGUAAAAAGAAUUAUAGGUGCAUAUAUACUGUUAACAGUGCUAGCACACCCAUACGUUAAAAGAAUUAUAGGUGCAUAUAUACUGUUAACAGUGCUAGCACACCCAUACGUUAAAAGAAUUAUAGGUGCAUACCCAUAUACACCCAUCAGCUUAAACUUCAAUUUAAUAAAAAAAUAUUUAUUGUGGCUCAGGAUUUUAUUACUAUUAAUCUUUUUGGUUUGCAUAACUCAGUUUGCUGUAAUUAUCAUAAAAUAAAAUAAGUUUAAAGACAAGGAAAUGUCAUCACAAAUGCCAUAUAGUCAAAACUGCGCAAUGUAUUAGGUACACAUGUACCAGUUGAAAUAUUAAUUGUUAGAACAAGGGAAAUGUAAGAUACCAAGGGGAGAAUUAAAAGCUAAAAUGAGGAAGAGAGACCUGCUACAAAAUCAUAACAAAAAAUUAAAAAUUACGAAAAGACAGCUGUCUACAAAAUACUACAUCAAAAUUGGUGAAUGAGCAAAACAAGCUCCACCAUAAACCUGGGGUGAUAUAAGGUGCUAAGGAAACAUGUACAGCUCUUCAUGUGGAAUUUUGUACCUGUCAUGGGUUUGAUAUUUACUCUGUAGUAGUAAAAAAAAAUAGAAGGUAAAUAUAAUACAAAUAUUUUUGUUACCUCAAC